Molecule: long non-coding RNA, 783 nt
Organism: Sinocyclocheilus grahami
Lineage: Eukaryota; Metazoa; Chordata; Actinopteri; Cypriniformes; Cyprinidae
Exons: 3
Source: RefSeq, a predicted model, not a curated record
UGCGUGCGUUGACUCCCAGUGGUACGUCACAUCAUGAGUGUGUUGGGCUAAAGAGGCUUCAACUGGGGCUUUAAACUGAAGUCUACUGUCUAGACAGGACGCGAGGAAUUAAAUGCACAGUCAUAUAGUCGACCUCUAUUCUUAGACUCUGUACUAAGCCAGCUGUGCUUUUCCAUAUCUGCUGUUCAUAGACAAUCAUGGGAACAGAGGAAGCUAACGUAGACAGUUAGCUGCGAGAAUUCAGAAGCCAAAUCCUUCAAGAGUCACACCCUAAUAUUCACUGUCCUCGCACCGGCCACGCGACUGCGGGUACAGAUGCGCAGCCCUGCUUCUCGGUCUGGAUCACAGCAGCGCGACUGUUUCCUGCAAAGAUCUCUGUGCAAAAACAACCAGAGGAAGCAUCACGAAGGUCAUGUAUGUCCGGCUUCAGUCUCCUUCGUUGGGCGACAGAUAGCGUAGGUGGGCUAGCUAGUGUGUGAUCAGCAUCACUCCUCUGGGCUAUGAGUUCACCGAUGUACACGUUUGUUUUGAGAGAUGACAACAGCACUGUGUAUGCCGAGGUCGCCAAGAUCCUCAUCUCGACUGGAAAAUGGAAACGACUGAAGAAGGACAAUCCUCGGUUCAAUUUAAUGUUGGGAGAGAGAAAUCGGCUGCCUUUUGGACGGCUGGGUCAUGAACCGGGGUUGAUGCAGCUGGUGAAUUAUUACAGAGGAGCCGAUAAACUGUGUCGCAAAGCAUCACUGGUCAAGAUUAUCAAGACCAGUCCAGAGUUAAAGGACUUGU